UCCGGGUUUCGCCCGGCAGUCUCCCUAGAACAUUCAACUAAGGACAGGGGUUGCGCUCGUUGCGGGACUUAACCCAACACCUCACGGCACGAGCUGACGACAACCAUGCACCACCUGUGCAGGACCCUUGCGGACCCCAUAUCUCUAUGAGAUUUCCCUGCAUGUCAAGCCUUGGUAAGGUUCUUCGCGUUGCAUCGAAUUAAGCCACAUGCUCCGCCGCUUGUGCGGGCCCCCGUCAAUUCCUUCGAGUUUUAGCCUUGCGGCCGUACUCCCCAGGCGGGGCGCUUAAUGCGUUAGCUGCGGCACGGAACCCGUGGAAGGAAUCCCACACCUAGCGCCCAACGUUUACGGCGUGGACUAC
This 361-nucleotide unclassified non-coding RNA is filed under the name uncultured Actinomycetes bacterium. RNAcentral describes it as "uncultured actinobacterium contains 16S-23S intergenic spacer region". The record is from RNAcentral. Lineage: Bacteria; Bacillati; Actinomycetota; Actinomycetes.